CCAAAGUUUGUUACAGAAAAUCGGGAC
Molecule: non-coding RNA, 27 nt
Filed under: Rattus norvegicus (Norway rat)
Lineage: Eukaryota; Metazoa; Chordata; Mammalia; Rodentia; Muridae
Source: RNAcentral